GUAUGAUGGUCGAAGUUUGUCAGAUGGUUUUCAGAUGGUGUAUGAUGGUGUAGGGUGGUUAUACAGGGAAGGGUUGUCAGAUGGUGAAGAUGGUACAGAUGGUGUAUGAUGGUUGAAGUGUGUCAGAUGGUUGUCAGAUGGUGUAUGAUGGUGCAUGAUGGUCGAAGUGUGUCAGAUGGUUUUCAGAUGGUGUAUGAUGGUGUAGGGUGGUUAUACAGGGAAGGGUUGUCAGAUGGUGAAGAUGGUACAGAUGGUGUAUGAUGGUCGAAGUGUGUCAGAUGGUUUUCAGAUGGUGUAUGAUGGUGUAGGGUGGUUAUACAGGGAAGGGUUGUCAGAUGGUGAAGAUGGUACAGAUGGUGUAUGAUGGUCGAAGUGUGUCAGAUGGUUGUCAGAUGGUUGUCAGAUGGUGUAUGAUGGU
Molecule: non-coding RNA, 418 nt
Organism: Paramuricea clavata
Lineage: Eukaryota; Metazoa; Cnidaria; Anthozoa; Malacalcyonacea; Plexauridae
Source: the annotation of a GenBank genome assembly